Long non-coding RNA from Topomyia yanbarensis, 2183 nucleotides. RefSeq lists it as uncharacterized. The record is from RefSeq and is a predicted model, not a curated record. NCBI's taxonomy places the organism in Eukaryota, Metazoa, Arthropoda, Insecta, Diptera, Culicidae. The transcript has 4 exons.
UUCUCCAUACUUUUUCACCAUUUGGAUGAACUUCGAGUGGGGAAUAUGAAAUAAAGUUACGGCGGGUAGCCUAUAACAUAGUUCCAGUAGCCUACCGCUAGCCGGCAUCUGUUUUAAUCUGGCUAUUCGCCGUUUCGUUUACUGGGUAUGAACUCCAAGAGUUCAUUCCAAUUUGUCAAAAACAUUGUUUUGACGUAGAUGAACCCCAAAACAGUGUUGCAGAAUAUACCGAUUUAUCGAUAUUUAAACCGAUUUUUAAUUUCAAUACCAAUAAUGUUACUAAAAAUACCGAUUUCUUUUUUCUUACCAAAAAAUCACGAUUUUCAUAUAAUAAGAUAUAAUAAGAUCAAUAUUAUUACGUAUGGGCCUUUUUAGAAAAUGUCUUCACCUUUCCACAUCAAAUCAUCCGGAAAUUGAUUCAGCAAUCUGCCAGGUUACAAAAAAAUACAAAUAUGUUAAUACGGAAUGCUCUGACGAUUUUUUGAGGACACAUUUUAUGACCCAGGUACACCCAUAAAGGUACACUGUCAGAGUGACAGCAUACUUUGAUGAAAUUGUGCUAAAACUGGCUGCACUGAUAGAUUUGUUUUUGAUUGUUUGACACUUCUAAAUAUUUUAGUUUUCUGCAGAAAAAAUCUCAGAAAACUAACGACUGAUUUUUGUCGACGUCGGGCACCAGUUACAGUUACAGUUUGAAAUUAUAUCUCACCUCGGAUGAACGCGCCCGUUAUGUGUUACCCCGCAACAGCUGACUUAACUGAUUGUUCAAAUCCUCGAAUUUAUCCUGCUCGCUGUCGUUCAUGUUUUUAUUACUUUCCCCUAGUUCUACACAAUCAUUAGCCAUUGGAUCGGUUCGUGAUUUUAGGGAAUAGUAAACGUUAUGAAAAAAUCCAUUGUAUAAUAUAAUUAUAGUGUAUAAUUCAUGAAUCCGAAGUGGUUCAAAAGGAUGUCGCUGUACAGAUUCAGAGCGGCCGUUUCCAGCUCAGCAAAAGUGAAAGCCACUUGACGGUUAAAUUCGUAGUGUGUCCGCUGAUAGCGCUCGGGGACAGAAAAAUCUCAUAGGUCAGAGUCGCUUCCGACUUCGUUACCGUCAACAUUAAACACAACAGCAAGAUACUUGGAAAGGACUUUCUCGUUCAAACAAACAUAAUGGAAGCGUAUUCUACACGCACAUAUUCACUCGGGCCAACCGUGUGACUCAUUUGGAAAAAGGACUCAUCGUCGGUUUCAUGGCAGCGAAGUGAGCAGACAAAAAAGGCAUCGUUUUUUUCCACAUGAUCGUUCUGAGCAAAAUUCAGCGAUUUGCCAGGCAUAAACCACCGAUGAGACAGUACCCGUUCGGAUUCAGGACGUUUUCCCAUACAUUGUACCCGGUCGAAGCGAUGGCAAGCGAUGCAGAUAACUGGGUCAAAAAGGCGGAGGUUCUGGGAAUUUCUGCACUCGUUAGCGAUCUGAGUAUGACCAAGGACAAGGAAUCAGAACCGGCGACUGACAGUCCAGAGAAAGAGAAUGCGGAAAAACCUUCUAGUCCAUAGCUCCUGAAGAAAAACGAGCUGAAGCGAAUAUGGAGAAACAGCUUCCUCCACGGAAAAUGCAGAGGCAUGCAACGCGGCGGAUGCAAGUUUGCUAAUUGAAAUUAUUCGCAAAGAUCUAGUAGAAUUAAAACUGGAGGUGCUGCGAAACGAUCCUUUUUCGACGCUAUACUCGGUUAAAACUAUCGACGCUUUGCACUUGAUGCCGGAACUGCCCACCCCGAGAGCAGAUGAGCGCUGGGGAAUGUUUUCAGCCACCUGGAGGAGGAAGUUCAGCGCGGAAGAAAUGUUACCAGACUUCGCCGAUCUGGUAUCUGGACGUUUUUGAUGAUCUCAUAGAGAUUGGGUGUGCAGAUGGGCGUUUAAAGUUCUGGGAGGGAACGACUGGUAACUUUUAGGUAAAUUGUUUGGAGUCAUUUGUUUUUGCCUUUCUCAUAUAGAAAGGUUAUGCAAUCACUCUGAAAAACGUAAACCUAAUCCCGGCCCGGAGGGCCGGGUGUCAUAUCCCAUUCGACUCAGUUCGUCGAGAUCGGAAAAAGUCUGUAUGUGUGUGUGUAUGUAUGUAUGUGUGUGUGUAUGUGUAUGUGUGUGUAUGUAUGUGCGUAUGUGUCAAAUAAUGUCACUCAUUUUUCUCAGAGAUGGCUGGACCGA